UGUUCUUGCUGCUUGCCUUGGACCCUAGGGAAAAAAUCCGGCAACUGAGCAAAUAUUCUCUUUUUUCCCUAGGGUCCAAGGCAAGCAGCAAGAACA
This 96-nucleotide microRNA precursor is filed under the name Podarcis lilfordi (Lilford's wall lizard). The record is from RNAcentral. Lineage: Eukaryota; Metazoa; Chordata; Lepidosauria; Squamata; Lacertidae.